UAUAACUGCAGUAAUCCUAGUUUUUGUGGUAGAAAAAUUUUGUUUUUGCUACCCCAUAUUCCUACAAACCGGCCCUUUGAUGUGUAUUGUGAUGCAUCAGGUACGGGUCUCGGCUAUGUUCUCAUCCUUGUUUGUCUUCGUCGGAGAUUAUUCGGCCAUUAAUACUUGUUGUGAUGCAUCAGGUACGGGUCUAGGCUGCGUCCUUAUGCAGAAUCAGUGAGUGAUUGCUUAUGCCUCCAGAGCACUCCGCCGGCAUGAGGAAAAUUAUGCCACCCAUGAUUUGGAGCUAGCAGCAGUGGUGCAUGCAUUAAAGAUCUGGCGUCAUUAUCUUCUGGGCAAUCAUGUUCAUAUAUACUCAGACCACAAGAGUCUUAAGUAUAUUUUCACCCAGAGCGAGCUGAAUUUGCGUCAGAGACGGUGGUUAGAGCUAAUUAAGGAUUAUGAUCUGGAGAUUCACUAUCACUCGAGCAAGACAAAUGUUGUCGCCGAUGCAUUGAGUCACAAGGCUAGUUGUAGCUGCGUCUCAGCUACAGUUUUGCAUGAAACUUUGUGCCAAGAAAUGGAGAAGGUGAAUUUGGCCAUUGUAGCUGAGGGUACACUUACCCACAUUACCCUCACUCCAACACUGAGGGAUCAAAUUAUUGCUGCUCAGAGGAAUAAUAUUGGCAUGGAAAAGAUUAGGCAAAGGCUUAGAGAAGGUGACCCUUGUGUGGCAUGCUUCCAGCUAGACGGCAAGGGUGUUUUAUGGUUUAAGAACUGGUUAGUGGUACCUAAGGAUUUUGAGCUACAAAAAUUAAUUCUUGAUGAAGCUCAUCUCUCUAGGUAUUCAAUUCACCCGGGCAGCAACAAAAUGUAUCAAGACUUGAAACAACGGUUCUGGUGGACACGGAUGAAGCGGGAGAUCACUAACUAUGUUUCUGAGUGUGACAUUUGUCGAAGGGUUAAAGCGAGUCAUUUCAAACCCGCUGAUAUGCUUCAGCCUUUGGAUAUUCCUUCAUGGAAGUGGGAGGAUAUUAGUAUGAACUUCAUUGUUCGCUUGCCUGCCACCUCAAAGGGAUAUGAUUCUAUUUGGGUUAUAGUUGACCGUCUCACUAAAUCUGCUCAUUUUCUUCCCGUGAAGACACGUUAUUCGUCCCAUCAACAUGCAGAGAUUUAUAUGGCCCGCAUUGUGAGUCUUCAUGGUGUACCCAAGAUGAUCAUAUCGGAUAGAGGCUCACAAUUCGUUGUGCAUUUCUGGAAACAAUUGCAAGCAUCCCUGGGUGCUCAACUUAUUCGUAGCUCAGCUUAUCACCCCCAGACUGAUGGUCAGACUGAGCGAAUUAAUCAAAUCCUGGAGGAAAUGCUUAGAGCCUGUGCGCUCUCCUAUGGUAAGAAAUAGGAUGAGUGCUUCCCUCUGGCGAAAUUCUCUUAUAAUAAUAGCUAUCAAGAAACCAUCAAGAUGGCUCCAUUUGAGGCAUUAUAUGGGCGAAGGUGUAGAACCCCAUCGAAUUGGUCAGAAGCCAGCGAAAGAAAUGUUUUUGGACCUGAUUUGGUGAGUGAAGCUGAAGAACAAGUUCAGGUUAUACAGAAGAAUUUAAAAAUCGCCCAAUCACGGUAGAAAAGCUAUGCAGACAAGAGACGUCGGGCCCUGAUAUUUGAAGUGGGGGGUCAGGUUUAUCUUCGGGUAUCUCCGAUGAAGGGUGUCCAGCGGUUCGGUGUGAGAGGAAAUUAGCACCUCGCUAUGUUGGGCCAUAUCCUAUUAUUGAACGUUGUGGGCCGGUAGCAUAUCGAGUGAAGCUUCCAUCACAUCUAUCGGUAGUUCAUAAUAUUUUUCAUGUUUCCCAACUCAAGAAAUGCCUCCGAGUUCCGACUGAGAUGGUUGACAUGGAAGGUUUACAGUUGGAGCCUGAUCUUGUCUAUCCAGAGCAUCCUAUCAAAAUUGUGGACCACAAGACUCGGGUUACUCGGAACCAAGUUAGCAAUUUCUAUAAAGUGCAAUGGAGCAAUCACUCCAAGCGGGAAGCUACUUAGAAAACGGAGGAAUUUAUUCAGUCCAAAUGUCCUGAGUUGCUCCAAACAUACCAAGGACACUCGGACGUGGAUUUCUGCCCCUGCUGUGUCAAAUUUAUCCGCCGUGAUGCAGAGGGAUGGGAAGUGGUGGAUCGGGAUCCGUAGGCUAGGAGUUUGUUGAGUUGCACACUUGCGGACUGAGAGUGCAACCUGUCUGUUUUGGUUGGACCGGUCUGACCGGUGGCUUCGUGGGGGUCUCCAUACAGACCGCUCUGACCGGUUAGAUGAACCGGUCUGACCGGUUGUGUAGUGGCUGAACACUAAAAUAGUUGUAGGUUGUUUUCCGUUUAAACUGGACUACCCUAUUGUAACAUUGUAAAUUGUUGAGUUAUGUAAAUUUUGUAAAAUUCUUGUA
Molecule: long non-coding RNA, 2404 nt
Organism: Panicum virgatum (switchgrass)
Lineage: Eukaryota; Viridiplantae; Streptophyta; Magnoliopsida; Poales; Poaceae
Exons: 2
Source: RefSeq, a predicted model, not a curated record